Molecule: long non-coding RNA, 843 nt
Filed under: Vitis vinifera (wine grape)
Lineage: Eukaryota; Viridiplantae; Streptophyta; Magnoliopsida; Vitales; Vitaceae
Description: long non-coding RNA (VVIN_LNC004954)
Source: RNAcentral
AAUCCAACAAAUCCUACCCACAUUAUGGGCCCCAAAAUCCACAUCAAUUAAUAAGCCCACAUAAAAUAAAACACAUGGUAAAGAGAAACAAUAUUUCAAGCUCAAACAAAUAACAAUUUAACAAUAGGCCUAAGUCCCAAUAAACAAUAUACAAUUGAUAUAAUCUAAAUAUCCUCAAAUUAAUCACCAAAUACAAUAUGCCCACAAACCCAAAUUAACAAAUUUCAAAUUAAUUCAUUAACAAUAAAUUAAAUCAAAUUAUAUAUUAAUCUACCCACAACAAAUUAACCCCAAACUAAAAUAAAUUAAAAUAACAACAAUAACAAUAACAAUAAUAAUAAUAAUAAUAACGGAAACGGAUGAGAUGAAGAGGGGGUCGCCGGCCGGCGUCAUGCCACCGUCGUGGAGCGAGAGAAAAAAUGGAGAAAAAAAAUGAGGGAAGGAGAAGAGGAAAUGGGAGACUCGGCCACCUGAAAAAAAUGGAAAAAGAAAAGAAAAGAAAAAAAAACCAAAAUCCAAAGAGAGAAAUGAGAAAAGAGAGAAGAGGAAAGAGAUGAGAGGGUGGGUGUGUGGCCGGCCGGGAAGGGAAGUGGAGUGUGGGGAAAGAAAAGGAAAAAAAAAAUGGAGAGAAAGAAAAAUUCAUGGGGCUAUGUGUGUGUCUUGAAGAAUGAGGGGGGAAGAAGAAUGGAGGGGGCAGCAGAGAAAUGGUGGAAAAAAAAAAAAAAAAUCCCUCCCUCCCCCCUCCCCCCACGGGCUGGAGAUGGAAAAGGGGAAGAAAUGACGGGGAGGGCAGAAAGAUGGGGCCCACGGCUGCUGUUGGGGAGAGUCUCAAAAAUGGAGGAG